GUAGAAUUAUGCCAAUGAGCCUGGCUAGGAAGGGCAGCCCAGGCAGAGCGCAUGGCCUGUGCAAAGGCUGAGGCUUCAGUGUAUUGAGGAGCUGUGGUCUACAGGAGGGGCGGGAGGGGACCUCGGGGCAGAAGGCUGACUGUGACACUCCAGUUCUGCAUAAUCACUGGACCUGGGUCCCAGUCCUGGCUCUGCGGCUGUGAGCACGUCCUCCCACUUUGUGGAGCCUCAGUUGCCUCAUCUGUAUAAUGGGACUGAUAAGAGCGGGCACCUGGCGGUCCACUCUGGGGACUUGACUCUGCCUCUUGGGGAAGGGGUAGGGGUGAGGGGAGGAUGUUGACUCCUCCGGGUCCCUUUCCCAACAGAAGGAGCAUUUCUACCAAAGGCAGCACCGGCUGCCCGAGCCCUCCUGCCCAGAGCUGGCCACACUCACCAGCCAGUGUCUGACCUAUGAGCCGACCCAGAGGCCAUCAUUCCGCACCAUCCUGCGUGACCUCACCCGGCUGCAGCCCCACAAUCUUGCUGACGUCUUGACUGUGAACCCGGACUCACCAGCCUCAGACCCUACGGUUUUCCACAAGCGCUAUU
Molecule: small RNA, 588 nt
Filed under: Pongo abelii (Sumatran orangutan)
Lineage: Eukaryota; Metazoa; Chordata; Mammalia; Primates; Hominidae
Description: retained intron
Source: RNAcentral